AGGGUCUGGGAGGUAUCUUAGGGUCAGGACUGUGGGAGAGGGCAGGGACUGGGAGGUGUCUUAGGGUCAGGACUGUGGGAGAGGGCAGGGACUGUGGGAGAGGGCAGGGACUGGGAGGUAUCUUAGGGUCAGGACUGUGGGAGAGGGCAGGGACUGUGGGAGAGGGCAGGGACUGGGAGGUGUCUUAGGGUCAGGACUGUGGGAGAGGGCAGGGACUGUGGGAGAGGGCAGCGACUGUGGGAGAGGGCAGGGACUGGGAGGUAUCUUAGGGUCAGGACUGUGGGAGAGGGCAGGGACUGGGAGGUGUCUUAGGGUCAGAACUGUGGGAGAGGGCAGGGACUGUGGGAGAGGGCAGGGACUGGGAGGUAUCUUAGGGUCAGGACUGUGGGAGAG
Long non-coding RNA from Oncorhynchus tshawytscha (Chinook salmon), 393 nucleotides. Lineage: Eukaryota; Metazoa; Chordata; Actinopteri; Salmoniformes; Salmonidae. The record is from Ensembl.